This 1054-nucleotide ribosomal RNA is filed under the name uncultured bacterium. RNAcentral's name for it is "bacterial SSU rRNA". It matches the Rfam family "Bacterial small subunit ribosomal RNA", at positions 336 to 1393 of the family's 1533-position model. The record is from RNAcentral.
CUCCUACGGGAGGCAGCAGUGAGGAAUAUUGGUCAAUGGGCGAGAGCCUGAACCAGCCAAGUAGCGUGAAGGAUGACUGCCCUAUGGGUUGUAAACUUCUUUUAUAAAGGAAUAAAGUCGGGUAUGCAUACCCGUUUGCAUGUACUUUAUGAAUAAGGAUCGGCUAACUCCGUGCCAGCAGCCGCGGUAAUACGGAGGAUCCGAGCGUUAUCCGGAUUUAUUGGGUUUAAAGGGAGCGUAGGUGGACAGUUAAGUCAGUUGUGAAAGUUUGCGGCUCAACCGUAAAAUUGCGGUUGAUACUGGAUAUCUUGAGUGCAGUUGAGGCAGGCGGAAUUCGUGGUGUAGCGGUGAAAUGCUUAGAUAUCACGAAGAACUCCGAUUGCGAAGGCAGCCUGCUAAGCUGCAACUGACAUUGAGGCUCGAAAGUGUGGGUAUCAAACAGGAUUAGAUACCCUGGUAGUCCACACAGUAAACGAUGAAUACUCGCUGUUUGCGAUAUACAGUAAGCGGCCAAGCGAAAGCAUUAAGUAUUCCACCUGGGGAGUACGCCGGCAACGGUGAAACUCAAAGGAAUUGACGGGGGCCCGCACAAGCGGAGGAACAUGUGGUUUAAUUCGAUGAUACGCGAGGAACCUUACCCGGGCUUAAAUUGCAAAUGAAUAAUCUGGAAACAGGUUAGCCGCAAGGCAUUUGUGAAGGUGCUGCAUGGUUGUCGUCAGCUCGUGCCGUGAGGUGUCGGCUUAAGUGCCAUAACGAGCGCAACCCUUAUCUUUAGUUACUAACAGGUCAUGCUGAGGACUCUAGAGAGACUGCCGUCGUAAGAUGUGAGGAAGGUGGGGAUGACGUCAAAUCAGCACGGCCCUUACGUCCGGGGCUACACACGUGUUACAAUGGGGGGUACAGAAGGCAGCUACCUGGUGACAGGAUGCUAAUCCCAAAAGCCUCUCUCAGUUCGGAUCGAAGUCUGCAACCCGACUUCGUGAAGCUGGAUUCGCUAGUAAUCGCGCAUCAGCCAUGGCGCGGUGAAUACGUUCCCGGGCCUUGUACACACCGC